This is a non-coding RNA of Neoarius graeffei (lesser salmon catfish), 75 nucleotides long. Lineage: Eukaryota; Metazoa; Chordata; Actinopteri; Siluriformes; Ariidae. The record is from the annotation of a RefSeq genome assembly.
GGCUCCAUAGCUCAGUGGUGUGAGAGCACUGGUCUAGUAAACCAGGGGUUGUGAGUUCAAUUCUCACUGGGGCCU